This 60-nucleotide transfer RNA is filed under the name Bathynomus sp. YS-2016. Its description in RNAcentral is "tRNA-Gly". The record is from RNAcentral. Lineage: Eukaryota; Metazoa; Arthropoda; Malacostraca; Isopoda; Cirolanidae.
GCUUUUGAAGUAUCUUGUAUAUCUAGCUUCCAACUAGAAGGUUUAGCUUUAACAAAAGCA